Molecule: ribosomal RNA, 730 nt
Filed under: uncultured bacterium
Lineage: Bacteria
Description: bacterial SSU rRNA
Rfam family: Bacterial small subunit ribosomal RNA
Source: RNAcentral
AACAGGAUUAGAUACCCUGGUAGUCCAUGCCGUAAACGAUGAGUGCUAAGUGUUGGGAGGUUUCCGCCUCUCAGUGCUGCAGCUAACGCAUUAAGCACUCCGCCUGGGGAGUACGACCGCAAGGUUGAAACUCAAAGGAAUUGACGGGGGCCCGCACAAGCGGUGGAGCAUGUGGUUUAAUUCGAAGCGACGCGAAGAACCUUACCAGGUCUUGACAUCCAUAGCCAGUCUAAGAGAUUAGAUGUUCCCUUCGGGGACUAUGAGACAGGUGGUGCAUGGCUGUCGUCAGCUCGUGUCGUGAGAUGUUGGGUUAAGUCCCGCAACGAGCGCAACCCUUGUCAUUAGUUGCCAGCAUUAAGUUGGGCACUCUAAUGAGACUGCCGGUGACAAACCGGAGGAAGGUGGGGAUGACGUCAAGUCAUCAUGCCCCUUAUGACCUGGGCUACACACGUGCUACAAUGGACGGUACAACGAGAAGCGACCCUGUGAAGGCAAGCGGAUCUCUGAAAGCCGUUCUCAGUUCGGAUUGCAGGCUGCAACUCGCCUGCAUGAAGCUGGAAUCGCUAGUAAUCGCAAAUCAGCACGUUGCGGUGAAUACGUUCCCGGGCCCUGUACACACCGCCCGUCACACCAUGAGAGUUUGUAACGCCCGAAGCCGGCGGGAUAACCGAAAGGAGUCAGCCGUCUAAGGCGGGACAGAUGAUUAGGGUGAAGUCGUAACAAGGUAACC